CAACGGAAUCCCAAAAGCAGCUGUCUUCCUCUGAGCAUUCCAGCUGCGGUUGGAUUUCGUUACC
RNAcentral lists this microRNA precursor (64 nucleotides) under Chrysemys picta bellii (western painted turtle). Its description in RNAcentral is "Cpi-Mir-191_pre stem-loop". It matches the Rfam family "mir-191 microRNA precursor family", at positions 15 to 77 of the family's 91-position model. Lineage: Eukaryota; Metazoa; Chordata; Testudines; Emydidae. The record is from RNAcentral.